Molecule: long non-coding RNA, 1198 nt
Organism: Gallus gallus (chicken)
Lineage: Eukaryota; Metazoa; Chordata; Aves; Galliformes; Phasianidae
Source: Ensembl
GGGCUGUUUCCUUUUUAUUUUAUGUUGGUUCUGCUCAAAUGUACCUGGUUUAUGUCCACAAAGCCGCAUUAGCUAAUUGUCAACCUGUUUCAUUCGUACUUGGGUAAACAUUUGCUUUGUACUGUGCAUAAAUGGUUCCGAGGUGUGCUCCUCAGCUGUCUCAACGCAGACAUCAAUUUCACUCGUAAUGCCAUCAUACAAAAUACGUUAAGCUGUUUUCCGACCAAGCGAAGCUGCCUGGCUGGGUGGUUUGUGCCCUGUGCACGCUGCCUUGUGACAACGGCUCAUCCGCAGCGCCGCCGGCAGCGAGGCCGGCACGGGUGGGAGGCACGCGUGGCCACAGCAGCGCCUGCGAUUGGUGUGGCGACUCGUGUCCCCUCGGCCAUGGGAAAUGAAGGCUCUCAGCAAACCGUAGACGUGAAGAACAGAUGCUCCCGUUGCACCGAGGGUUUCUGUGCAGCUGAUGCACUUAGCCUAGUUUAUUUCACGGAAACUUUUAAGCUGGAUCUCGUCCAACGCCCAGGGAAGCAGAUGGCUUCUGUUGGUUUGAGUUGGUUUUCACGUCGAGUCCAUUCAGGUCUCCGAUUGCAAGUGGUUCCAGAGGGUUCUGAUUUCUUUUUUUCUCCUGACGUUCUGAUAAGAUUCGGUGUUAGGGCGACAGCUUAGCACUGACCGGUAGUUUUACAAAACCGAAUUUUGCUUUGGAAGGAUUUGUGCUGCGGAAGGGCAGAGCAGUCAGCUCAGUGACACGAAAACUCACCUCUGCGCACGGAGAGCUGCGGUGACGCCGUGGUGCUGGCUGGAUGCUUCCGGGGAGGUGGGCCAGCAGGAAAUCUGUUUCUGUGUGUUUAUGUGGACCUUCUAACCAGUGCUGCUUAGGAUAAAUAGUAAGUGUAAAAAUAAGCCGUCCCCUCGCAUUAUUGUCAGGCAGAGGAAAACUUAAACCAAGUCCCUUUCUGCCUGUUAUUCAGUGCAUCGUGUUUAUGCUUGCUGCUUAUCCUUGAUCUCUCACUCACAGCUUCCAGAACAGCAACUGAAGGGUGACACAGGAACUACGUGCUAACUUUUAUGUCAAAAAUAGCUUUCACCUUUAAAUGCACGAGGCUCGGGGACUGUUUUCUAAUUAGAAAAAGAAUGCCUGAGCUUCUACUGUGAAUCCAUUUUACGGCUGUGUUAAAACUUGACUGUCAACUCCUGG